Molecule: ribosomal RNA, 253 nt
Filed under: uncultured bacterium
Lineage: Bacteria
Description: partial 16S ribosomal RNA
Rfam family: Bacterial small subunit ribosomal RNA
Source: RNAcentral
UACGGAGGGUGCAAGCGUUGCUCGGAAUCACUGGGCGUAAAGCGACCGCAGGCGGCCUGACAAGUCGGAUGUGAAAGCCCUGGGCUCAACUCAGGAAUUGCAUUCGAAACUGGCAGGCUUGAGUACGGGAGAGGGGGGUGGAAUUCCUGGUGUAGGGGUGAAAUUCGUUGAUAUCAGGAGGAACACCGGCGGCGAAGGCGGCCCCCUGGCCCGCAACUGACGCUCAUGGUCGAAAGCGUGGGGAGCAAACAGG